Picea glauca (white spruce) is the source of this 1598-nucleotide non-coding RNA. The record is from Rfam. NCBI's taxonomy places the organism in Eukaryota, Viridiplantae, Streptophyta, Pinopsida, Pinales, Pinaceae.
CGACCCCAUCUUAGGUGAGAACACCCGCUGAUUUUAAGCAUAUAAUUAAGUGGAGGAAAAUAAACUUAUAAGGUUUCCCCUAGUAACGACGAGCGAAUUGGGAAGAUCCCAACAUGAAAAUCAGGUGGAAGCGCCGCCUGAAUUGUAGUCUGUAUAAGCAUCCUUAGUAGCGAACUACGCCCAAGUCCCCUGGAAGGGGGUGCCUGAGAGGGUGACAGCCCCGUUGGGCCGGGACCUUGCAGCACCAUGAGGCAUUGUCAGGGAGUUGGGUUGUUUGGGAAUGUAGCCCUAAUUGGGUGGUAAAUUCUAUCCAAGGAUAAAUAUGUGCGAGAGACUGAUAACGAACAAGUACCGUAGGGAAAGAUUAAAAGGACUUUGAAAAUAGAGUUAAAGAGUGCUUGGAACUGUCGGGAGGGUAGCGGAUGGAGGUCGACGAUGCGUCUUGAUCGGUUGCGGAACGACUCAAGAUGGUUCGCUGCUUGACUUGAGGUACGAACCAACACAGGCCAUUGCAUAGGCACAAGCGCGGGUGGAGUACUGCCUUUUGGUUUGUCGUUGUGGCGGUCGAGGAGUGGAGAAAUCAAGGGAUUCCACCAACACUCAUUUAAAUUUAUUUUCAAUCGCUUGCCAAUACUUCUUUUAGUUUGUUGAUAUUGAGCUCACACAUGAGGUAGUUUAUAUCUAUGAGGAUUUAGGAUCAAUUUUUCAAGCCUGAAUUUGAUGUGUAAAUAUUUAUGAAGGUAUUGGAUCCCUUAAUUAAUCCUUAGUAUUGUUGACGAUUUGAAUAAGUUUUGAAAUCACCAAGCAACCAUGCAGGAAACUCAAUGUUGCAUAGAAUAAGAGUUUAAUUGUUUUAUGAGUUUAAAAGCUAGUAAUUGAACCUUCAUCAUUGAAGUAAGAAAAGAAAGGUGUCAAUGUUUUUGUAUAUUUGGAUAAUUUAGCCAAUAAAUCACUUAUUCAGUGAGGUUACUUGUUUUCCAAACCAACCGAUUGAGGUUAUUGACCCUUGCACUCAAAAAAUUUCCUCCUUGGGGUAACUCACUCACUUGUCCUUAUUUGUCCUUAUGAGCUCUCUUGGGCCUUGUGCACUAGUUGGGGUCUUUUUUAGGUUGAGGAGCCUCCCUUGGUUCCCCAAACUUCCCUAAUCCAUUAGGGCACACUUGUCAUGACCAAGGGGUAAGUUAAAGUCAACAUGGGUAGUCAUAACUACAACAUUGACUAAAACAACCUAACUCGAUAGAAAGUUAGAUAUAGUUCCUAUUGAUUCACAUUGUAUGCCAUCAAAGGUAUGUGAAUUGGUCAAGGUGGAAUGAGAAUGGGAGAACCAAAGUGUUGUUAUAUUGACUUAGAUAUAUGAACUAUCUCCAUGAUUUAAGGACUCAUUUGGAAAAUGAGACAUAGUUGAAUGUUGCUAAGUCUUAGAUAACUAGAACAUCGAAGUUGGCAUGUUAUAAGGCCAAUUGAAUCUAAAUAAGAUUGAAUGACAUCACUGAGCUUGUGAGUGAUAGAGACAAACACCUAAUUACUUUAAGUUUACUUAUAAAUUAUUCUUAUUUUUGUUGCUAAUAUAAAUAUCUAAACAUGGUUUUCAACAUAUG